Molecule: ribosomal RNA, 293 nt
Filed under: uncultured bacterium
Lineage: Bacteria
Description: partial 16S ribosomal RNA
Rfam family: Archaeal small subunit ribosomal RNA
Source: RNAcentral
GUGCCAGCAGCCGCGGUAAUACCGGCAGCCCGAGUGAUGGCCGAUCUUAUUGGGCCUAAAGCGUCCGUAGCCUGCUGUGUAAGUCCAUUGGGAAAUCGACGCGCUCAACGCGUCGGCGUCCGGUGGAAACUACACGGCUUGGGGCCGAGAGACUUGACGGGUACGUCCGGGGUAGGAGUGAAAUCCUGUAAUCCUGGACGGACCACCGAUGGGGAAACCACGUCAAGAGACCGGACCCGACGGUGAGGGACGAAAGCCAGGGUCUCGAACCGGAUUAGAAACCCCAGUAGUCC